UCGCACGAGAAAGGGGAGCAAUCCCUGAGUAAAGUGGCGUACGGGUGAGUAACACGUGGAUCAUCUACCUUUUAGUGGGGAAUACCUCCGGGAAACUGGAGACAAUACCGCAUAAGCUCGUAAGAGGAAAGCCGAAAGGCGCUGAAAGAGGAGUCCGCGGCUGAUUAGCUAGAUGGCGGGGUAACGGCCCACCAUGGCGAAGAUCGGUAGCCGGCCUGAGAGGGCACACGGCCACACUGGCACCGAAACACGGGCCAGACUCCUACGGGAGGCAGCAGUGGGGAAUCUUGCACAAUGGGGGAAACCCUGAUGCAGCGACGCCGCGUGAGCGAUGAAGCCCUUCGGGGUGUAAAGCUCUUUCGACGGGAACGAUAAUGACGGUACCCGAAGAAGAAGCUGCGGCUAACUACGUGCCAGCAGCCGCGGUAAUACGUAGGCAGCAAGCGUUGUUCGGAAUUACUGGGCGUAAAGAGUGUGUAGGCGGUGUUCUAAGUCUGUUGUGAAAUCUCCCGGCUCAACUGGGAGGGUGCGGCGGAGACUGGAAUGCUAGAGUAUGGGAGAGGUAAGCGGAAUUCCUGGUGUAGCGGUGAAAUGCGUAGAUAUCAGGAGGAACACCUGUGGUGUAGACAGCUUACUGGACCAUGACUGACGCUGAGACACGAAAGCGUGGGUAGCAAACAGGAUUAGAUACCCUGGUAGUCCACGCCCUAAACGAUGCAUACUUGGUGUGAGCCAUUCAUUUUGGUUCGUGCCGGAGCUAACGCGUUAAGUAUGCCCGCCUGGGGAGUACGGUCGCAAGGCUGAAACUCAAAGGGAAUUGACG
Molecule: ribosomal RNA, 823 nt
Filed under: uncultured bacterium
Lineage: Bacteria
Description: bacterial SSU rRNA
Rfam family: Bacterial small subunit ribosomal RNA
Source: RNAcentral